ACACUCACUUCAGCAGCACAUAUAUUAAGAAUUGAAAUGCUACAGUGAAGAUCAGCAUGGACCUUGGGCAAGGAUGGCAUAUGCAGGAGUUCCCAUUGUGG
This 101-nucleotide small nuclear RNA is filed under the name Sus scrofa (pig). Lineage: Eukaryota; Metazoa; Chordata; Mammalia; Artiodactyla; Suidae. The record is from RNAcentral.